Molecule: ribosomal RNA, 1550 nt
Filed under: Enterobacter bugandensis
Lineage: Bacteria; Pseudomonadati; Pseudomonadota; Gammaproteobacteria; Enterobacterales; Enterobacteriaceae
Description: bacterial SSU rRNA
Rfam family: Bacterial small subunit ribosomal RNA
Source: RNAcentral
AAAUUGAAGAGUUUGAUCAUGGCUCAGAUUGAACGCUGGCGGCAGGCCUAACACAUGCAAGUCGAACGGUAGCACAGAGAGCUUGCUCUCGGGUGACGAGUGGCGGACGGGUGAGUAAUGUCUGGGAAACUGCCUGAUGGAGGGGGAUAACUACUGGAAACGGUAGCUAAUACCGCAUAAUGUCGCAAGACCAAAGAGGGGGACCUUCGGGCCUCUUGCCAUCAGAUGUGCCCAGAUGGGAUUAGCUAGUAGGUGGGGUAACGGCUCACCUAGGCGACGAUCCCUAGCUGGUCUGAGAGGAUGACCAGCCACACUGGAACUGAGACACGGUCCAGACUCCUACGGGAGGCAGCAGUGGGGAAUAUUGCACAAUGGGCGCAAGCCUGAUGCAGCCAUGCCGCGUGUAUGAAGAAGGCCUUCGGGUUGUAAAGUACUUUCAGCGGGGAGGAAGGUGUUGAGGUUAAUAACCUUAGCAAUUGACGUUACCCGCAGAAGAAGCACCGGCUAACUCCGUGCCAGCAGCCGCGGUAAUACGGAGGGUGAAAGCGUUAAUCGGAAUUAAUUGUCGUCAAGCGCACGCAGGCGGUCAGUCAAGUCGGAUGUGAAAUCCCCGGGCUCAACCUGGGAACUGCAUUCGAAACUGGCAGGCUAGAGUCUUGUAGAGGGGGGUAGAAUUCCAGGUGUAGCGGUGAAAUGCGUAGAGAUCUGGAGGAAGACCGGUGGCGAAGGCGGCCCCCUGGACAAAGACUGACGCUCAGGUGCGAAAGCGUGGGGAGCAAACAGGAUUAGAUACCCUGGUAGUCCACGCCGUAAACGAUGUCGACUUGGAGGUUGUGCCCUUGAGGCGUGGCUUCCGGAGCUAACGCGUUAAGUCGACCGCCUGGGGAGUACGGCCGCAAGGUUAAAACUCAAAUGAAUUGACGGGGGCCCGCACAAGCGGUGGAGCAUGUGGUUUAAUUCGAUGCAACGCGAAGAACCUUACCUACUCUUGACAUCCAGAGAACUUAGCAGAGAUGCUUUGGUGCCUUCGGGAACUCUGAGACAGGUGCUGCAUGGCUGUCGUCAGCUCGUGUUGUGAAAUGUUGGGUUAAGUCCCGCAACGAGCGCAACCCUUAUCCUUUGUUGCCAGCGGUCCGGCCGGGAACUCAAAGGAGACUGCCAGUGAUAAACUGGAGGAAGGUGGGGAUGACGUCAAGUCAUCAUGGCCCUUACGAGUAGGGCUACACACGUGCUACAAUGGCGCAUACAAAGAGAAGCGACCUCGCGAGAGCAAGCGGACCUCAUAAAGUGCGUCGUAGUCCGGAUUGGAGUCUGCAACUCGACUCCAUGAAGUCGGAAUCGCUAGUAAUCGUGGAUCAGAAUGCCACGGUGAAUACGUUCCCGGGCCUUGUACACACCGCCCGUCACACCAUGGGAGUGGGUUGCAAAAGAAGUAGGUAGCUUAACCUUCGGGAGGGCGCUUACCACUUUGUGAUUCAUGACUGGGGUGAAGUCGUAACAAGGUAACCGUAGGGGAACCUGCGGUUGGAUCACCUCCUUACCUUAAAGAA